GGGCGAAUGGUCUAGGGGUAUGAUACUCCCUUCGCAUGUCUGAAUCUUCAGCGUAGAUUGGGAGGGGUCCGGGGUUCAAUUCCCCGUUCGUCCA
RNAcentral lists this transfer RNA (94 nucleotides) under Nemania serpens. Its description in RNAcentral is "tRNA-Ala". It matches the Rfam family "tRNA". From Rfam's summary of the family: Transfer RNA (tRNA) molecules are approximately 80 nucleotides in length. Their secondary structure includes four short double-helical elements and three loops (D, anti-codon, and T loops). The record is from RNAcentral. Lineage: Eukaryota; Fungi; Ascomycota; Sordariomycetes; Xylariales; Xylariaceae.